GAUGAACGCUGGCGGCGUGCCUAAUACAUGCAAGUCGAGCGAACAGACGAGGAGCUUGCUCCUCUGACGUUAGCGGCGGACGGGUGAGUAACACGUGGAUAACCUACCUAUAAGACUGGGAUAACUUCGGGAAACCGGAGCUAAUACCGGAUAAUAUAUUGAACCGCAUGGUUCAAUAGUGAAAGACGGUUUUGCUGUCACUUAUAGAUUGAUCCGCGCCGCAUUAGCUAGUUGGUAAGGUAACGGCUUACCAAGGCGACGAUGCGUAGCCGACCUGAGAGGGUGAUCGGCCACACUGGAACUGAGACACGGUCCAGACUCCUACGGGAGGCAGCAGUAGGGAAUCUUCCGCAAUGGGCGAAAGCCUGACGGAGCAACGCCGCGUGAGUGAUGAAGGUCUUCGGAUCGUAAAACUCUGUUAUUAGGGAAGAACAAAUGUGUAAGUAACUAUGCACGUCUUGACGGUACCUAAUCAGAAAGCCACAGCUAACUACGUG
Molecule: ribosomal RNA, 497 nt
Filed under: uncultured bacterium
Lineage: Bacteria
Description: partial 16S ribosomal RNA
Rfam family: Bacterial small subunit ribosomal RNA
Source: RNAcentral